UUUGUCCUACGGGGGGCAGCAGUCGGGAAUAUUGCGCAGUGGAGGAAACUCUGACGCAGUGACGCCGCGUAUAGGAAGAAGGUUUUCGGAUUGUAAACCUCUGUCUUCGGUGACGAAACGAGACGGUAGCCGAGGAGGAAGCCACGGCUAACUACGUGCCAGCAGCCGCGGUAAUACGUAGGUGGCAAGCGUUGUCCGGAAUUACUGGGUGUAAAGGGAGCGUAGGCGGGAAAGCAAGUUGAAUGUUUAAGGUACGGGCUCAACCUGUACAAGCGUUCAAAACUGUUUUUCUUGAGUGGAGUAGG
Molecule: ribosomal RNA, 305 nt
Filed under: uncultured bacterium
Lineage: Bacteria
Description: bacterial SSU rRNA
Rfam family: Bacterial small subunit ribosomal RNA
Source: RNAcentral